UGGGGAAUUUUGCACAAUGGGCGCAAGCCUGAUGCAGCGACGCCGCGUGAGGGAUGAAGGCCUUCGGGUUGUAAACCUUUUUCGCUCAUGGUCAAGCCGCAGCUUUGGGUUGUGGUGAGGGUAGUGGGUAAAGAAGCGCCGGCUAACUACGUGCCAGCAGCCGCGGUAAUACGUAGGGCGCGAGCGUUGUCCGGAAUUAUUGGGCGUAAAGGGCUUGUAGGCGGUUGGCCGCGUCUGCCGUGAAAUCCUCUGGCUUAACUGGGGGCGUGCGGUGGGUACGGGUUGACUUGAGUGCGGUAGGGGAGACUGGAAUUCCUGGUGUAGCGGUGGAAUGCGCAGAUAUCAGGAGGAACACCGGUGGCGAAGGAGGGUCUCUGGGCCGUUACUGACGCUGAGGAGCGAAAGCGUGGGGAGCGAACAGG
Molecule: ribosomal RNA, 422 nt
Filed under: bacterium
Lineage: Bacteria
Description: partial 16S ribosomal RNA
Rfam family: Bacterial small subunit ribosomal RNA
Source: RNAcentral